This 460-nucleotide ribosomal RNA is filed under the name uncultured bacterium. Its description in RNAcentral is "SSU rRNA". It matches the Rfam family "Bacterial small subunit ribosomal RNA", at positions 26 to 518 of the family's 1533-position model. The record is from RNAcentral.
AGAAUCAACGCUGGCGGCGUGCCUAACACAUGCAAGUCGAACGAGAAAGUGGAGCAAUCCAUGAGUACAGUGGCGUACGGGUGAGUAACACGUGACUAACCUACCCUCGAGUGGGGAAUAACCUCGGGAAACCGGGGCUAAUACCGCAUAACAUCUACGGAUCAAAUGCGCAAGCAGCUUGAGGAGGGGGUCGCGGCCGAUUAGCUAGUUGGCGGGGUAAUGGCCCACCAAGGCAAUGAUCGGUAGCCGGCCUGAGAGGGCGCACGGCCACACUGGAACUGAAACACGGUCCAGACUCCUACGGGAGGCAGCAGUGGGGAAUUUUGCGCAAUGGGGGAAACCCUGACGCAGCAACGCCGCGUGGAGGAUGAAGCCCCUUGGGGUGUAAACUCCUUUCGAUCGGGACGAUUAUGACGGUACCGGAUGAAGAAGCACCGGCUAACUCUGUGCCAGCAGCCGC